AGAUCUCGCAAGAAGACUAAAAAAACCCGCAAGUAUGACAUCAUCACCACUCCAGCAGAACGAGUCGAAAUGGCCCCGUUAAACGAAGAUGAGGAUGAGGAGGAAGAUUCCACAGUGUUCGAUAUCAAAUACAGGUGAGGCCGUUCUCCAAGGCCCUGCAAGAUCUGGGGUUGUUGUUCAACACCUUGUGAGAAUCUCAGCCACAGAGAUGGCCUCUGAAGAAAACUACCACAGUCCUGACGGAAAACUGCCUCCGCUUUCAAGAUGCUACAGAAUGGAUACGAACAUCCAGGGCGUUAAACCUCACUGUUAAUAAACCAAACCAAAAGAAUUGGAAGAGACCUCCGUUCAAGAUUCUGCUUUUCUGCUCUUGUUUUGCUAGACACUAUAUGCUGACUCUGAACCAGUACAAUCGGGGCACAGAUGUCUCUUCAAAGACCAAGAUGUCUGAUGGACUUUCGGUUCUGGGCGCUAAACAAGGCUGGAUGGGUGAUCCCCUCAGUGCCGAAACCCAUCUGGGAUUGUGCGGUUCUGAGGGCAGCCCAAAAUGUUUGGUGUCAACUUUGAACUUGUGCAAACUCUACUGAAGUGGCUGACAGAGCGUUCUGAUGUAUUUGUGUGUGUGUGUGCUUGCGCGUUUGUGGGUGCAACCUAUGAAUCUUGCCUCUGAGAAUGGUUGCACUAAAACGCAUACUGCAAUAA
This is a long non-coding RNA of Sphaerodactylus townsendi, 702 nucleotides long. RefSeq lists it as uncharacterized. The transcript has 2 exons. The record is from RefSeq and is a predicted model, not a curated record. Lineage: Eukaryota; Metazoa; Chordata; Lepidosauria; Squamata; Sphaerodactylidae.